AAUGAACGCUGGCGGCAUGCCUAACACAUGCAAGUCGAACGAAGGCUUCGGCCUUAGUGGCGCACGGGUGCGUAACGCGUGGGAAUCUGCCCUUGGGUUCGGAAUAACAGUUAGAAAUGACUGCUAAUACCGGAUGAUGUCGUAAGACCAAAGAUUUAUCGCCCAAGGAUGAGCCCGCGUAGGAUUAGCUAGUUGGUGGGGUAAAGGCCUACCAAGGCGACGAUCCUUAGCUGGUCUGAGAGGAUGAUCAGCCACACUGGGACUGAGACACGGCCCAGACUCCUACGGGAGGCAGUAGUGGGGAAUAUUGGACAAUGGGCGAAAGCCUGAUCCAGCAAUGCCGCGUGAGAGAUGAAGGCCUUAGGGUUGUAAAGCUCUUUUACCCGGGAUGAUAAUGACAGUACCGGGAGAAUAAGCUCCGGCUAACUUCGUG
Molecule: ribosomal RNA, 433 nt
Filed under: uncultured bacterium
Lineage: Bacteria
Description: partial 16S ribosomal RNA
Rfam family: Bacterial small subunit ribosomal RNA
Source: RNAcentral